AGGCAGAACCCGCCCUGAGAUAGUGAGCCAUGCGUACAUCUCCCCAGGCCGAUGCAGUUUUUCUCUUGUUGCCCAGACUGGAGGCAAUGGCAUGAUCUCAGCUCACCGCAACCUCCUCCUCCUCGGUUCAAGCAACUCUCCUGCCUCAGCCUCCUAAGUAGCUCUACUGAACUGAUUGAUUGAUUGAAGACCUUGUCACAUACCAAGAGAACAGUUCUCCAUGGAGUUGUAUCUGAUUCUGAGGUUCCUACUUGGCAAAAAAUAUAUACAGCCCUGCUCUGUCUGGGGCACACCUCCAUUGGAUUUAAAAGACAGUCCUCAUCAGCACUGACUUCCAGCUAUAGAAUUGACAAAUUUGACCCAGUUGGCAGGCAUGGCGGCGCACACCCGUGGUCCCAGCUACCUGGUAGGCUGAGUGGGAAGUCAGCUUGAGCCAGGGAAUUCUGGAAUGCUGUCUGCUAUGCAGAUAAAGAUAAAGUUUUCUAACCAAGACCCCAAAACCUGGAGCGUGGCAAUGGUGGGAAGGAGGUAAGGGAAUGAGCCAGCAAGCGGAAUCUGCCCUUCACUGCCAGCGCCAAUGGGGAGCAGAAGGACUCUGACACAGGUACCAGCCUGCAGCAUCUCCUACAGUCAACCCUCCAUUGGCAGCCUGAAGCAGCUCAGGCAGGGUGUCCCUGGCUCCUGCACCUCCAGGCGUUGCACUGGGACCCACUCUAGCACCCUGCAAGCCAUCCAGGGUAAGGGGCAGCAGGGGCAGAGCACAGGCCCCCAUGUGCCACCUCCUCUUCGACCCGUGGGUCAUGCCCACAAGGCUGAUUGGAGAGCUUCACUCUUGAGUCCCACAUGCAUGCACCUGGUGCGUGUCCAGCCCUGGGCGAGGUAUGGGGAUGCUUACCUGUGCGUCUUCUGACAAAUGGACACAGAAGAGAGACAGUGGUUCCUCAAGGGAGUAGGACCUUAGUUCCUGCCCCUCUAUGGAUCCCCAGCACACAGAUAGGCUGGGAACCCGGGCUCCAUGCCAUCCACUUCCUUCAGUGCUAGUUCUUUGGUGGCCAGGCUGUGCCUCACUCCCCUCAUGAGCCCUGCUGAGGCUUUUGAGGAGUCCCAGAUGGGAGCCUUGAGCUUCCCUGGUGGAGCAGUGGCUAAGUCGGGCUGACUCUGGUAAAAUUAGCCAACUUUGAAUCUGGCGUCAGGUGAGGGAGGCGGCAUGUGUGCAGGGCUGGGAGACUGAGCUGGUCUGGGUUCUGGCUAACUCUGGGUGCACCCUUGAAGCCUGCAACAGAGCUCCAGGCUCCCUACAGGACACCAAGUUCUCAGCACAGGGCAUGUUUGUGCACCUUGUCCCAUUCUGUGAGUUGCCGGGGACUCACCAAGAUGGGAGGCCUAUGGAGCCAGGACCCCUUCCGCAACAACGUUAUCAUACUUCCUAUGCCUGGUGGCAACGAAUGUAUACCUGUUCCUAGAUGGGGAAGGAGACCAAGAGCGAAGGUGACAGCCAGCAGAAAGGAGUGAGGGCUCCUUUUUCAUCCAGCUGUCAAAGCCUGGGCAUGGCCAAUGCUGAGACCUUCUCUCUCCCACGAGACAACUCUUCUAGUUCUGCCCUCUCAGGCUGUCAUUUCAUGUGGGGGAAGCAGAUGUUGGCAGUGAGAGCCGUCAUCCUGGGCCCUCCUCCACUCCAUAAUGAGCCCCUUCCUGCCUGCCCCUGAGCAUUUGUAUCAGUGCUAAGUCCCACGCUGGUUGGGGGCUCCCCCUAGUCCCAGGGUCUGGCUCUGACAACAGAAAGCACAGACAGCAAAACUGUUGACUCUGCUCCUGAUGCUGAUGGCCAAGCUAGCCUGACCAUACCCAUGCCUCAGCAAGCAGAUGUCUGCCCCCAAUCCUUUGACAGCUAAACGGAGCAACAAUGCAAGGUCUAGAACACUGAGGAACCCAGGCUAGGUCAGUAGGUGCAAUCCUCUGCUAUCUUACCUAAAGUUUUCAUCCCAAGGCCCCUAUCCCACACCUCAACACUGACCUCUUCUUUGUGCCCCUCACACCAAUACAAUUUAGGUGCUCUAGCUCACCCACUCUUGACCCGCCUCCUGACUACCAUCCUGACAUCCCUGUGGCACCCUCCUGUGCCCGGUUGUCCCCUUCUCAGACUGCCCUGCACCCCGUGCUUUUUGGGCCAUGGUACAUCCUUAUGCAGAAACUAUGGGCCCCCAGCUAAAGCCUCAGCCCUCUCUUCUGUUCACCCCAUGGUCCUGGGCCCUGGAGUCCAUUCAGGCUAUUUCAUGGGAACCUCCAGCUGGUCAUUGUGUAGUUGAGGUUCUUGGGUGUGGUGUUCAGCUCCAGGAGGGAGUGGACUAUGGGAGGGGGCUGGCUGGCAUCCUGCAGCUUCAGGGCAUUGAAGCCAGGCUGGUACAGGAAGGGCAGGCAAGUGAGGCUGGCCAUGGUGCGCUCCCCACCGUUGGGCCCCACCAGGCACCCUCAGGCCUCUACCGAUGACAUAUGGUAUAGCAAGGUAUCCCAAAAACUGGAGGCCUGAGAGGUAUGGACGGGGUGCGGUGGUGGUGGGCAUAUUUUGCUCCAUUUUGCAUCUCUGGCUCCAGGCUCUGAUGCGACCUUGGGCACAGAGACUCCUGGGCCUCCUACAGCUGCUUGUUGAGCCACUUCGACACUGAGCCAGGGCUUGGGCUGAAAUUUGGAAACAGAGCAUAGUUAAGAGCCUGAUGAUAGGGCAGGGGAUGUGGCCCAGGCAGGGCUGGAUACUCACUUAGCUUCAGUGGCGGGGCCAUCUAUCAGGGUUUCCUCCAGGUGCUCUCUGCCAGGUCUCACGGGGUGAGACUGUGUGGUGAGAGCUCCAGUGUAUGGCAGGUCGGGGCUAGAGGUACCAAACCCUUGCUGUAGCCUCUCUGGGAAUUGAGCCCUGGAAGUCUGGUGGCAGCCGUGGUACAGGGGACUGCACAGGCCAGGGACUGACAGCCUGGGCUGCAGUGGGCAGCAGGCAGAUGUGAGCCACCAUGACCAGGGGCUCGUCCCUGGGGGAACAUGAAUCAGCAUCUCUGUCCUGGCUAUUGGAUUCCCUUUCUGGGACUCUCCUGGGGUGCUCAGUGGUCCCAUCGUAUGGGGACGUUAUCAGCUGAAUGUGCACCUGGGUGAUGUGGGUGAACUCAGCCAUGGUGGAUGAGACAGGGCUGAAGCCACCAAGAGGUUGGGCAGAUUCUGGUGUUGGGGCUGCAAUCUGGGGCCUCAUGGCUUUGAAGUGAGUAGUUAGAAUCCUGCACUGGGUGAGGCUGAAAAAGAAUGUGGACUUCUGAAAUGGUGACACCAUAUGGUGGGUGAUGGGGGUGUGCGGGGAGUGGGUUAGGGCAGCCACCAUGCAGGGAGCCUUGGUGGGGCAUUCAGGAAGGUGUGGGGCUUCAGCAGGGUGUGGGCCCUCAGCAGUGUAUAGGGCUGUGAACUCCUGGUUGUGGCUGGCCUCACUCACAAGGGAGAGAGAGGUGUGGAAGGCCCCAAUUGGGGGGAUGUUUGCACCCUGCUUUGUGUUCUUCUAGACUGCUUUCCUCAGGAGCUUCUGCAGAUGCAGGUUGUCCUUCCCUGGCUUGAGCAGCAGGGGCUGUGGGGGUCCAGGGGUUCUCUGGAGGCUUGGGCCACCCACCUUGGGUGCCAUCGAUGCGGCCAAGAUGAGCAUGGGCAUUGAGCCAAUGCUCAAUUGAGCAUGGAUGCCUCAUGGUGUGGGAGGGAUAGCAGUCAAGCCAGUCCUACUCCCUCCUGAGGUGGAGGCUGGUGUCGCCCUUGGUCCAGGCAGGACCUGGGGCAAGGCAUCUUUUGGUGACAACCACCUUUGGGGUCUCAGGUAUGAUUCCAUCACCUGAAGACCCCUCAACAACUCUCCAGACUAUAUUCCAAUCCCCAUGAGUCAUGAUUCUUUCACACAACCUCUUUCAGGAAUGGAGUCAGAAGAGUAUUUUCCAGCCACCACCUCAUGUCUCAAAAUGCCUCAUUGUCCAGUGGGACCUGACCACAUGGAAAGCCUGAAGAGGUCUAAGGUCCAGAAUUGUAGUGGUUUAUCACAAGCGGCUUUUUUCCCAACACCUGGCCAGCUCUGCCUGUAUCAUUUUCCUCUGCUUAGGCAGGCUGACAGCUCUUACAGCUGGGAGCCUGAGCCUGCCUCACUAAUGUGCAUGUGCUAGUCUCAGGACACCAGACCUGAGCUGUGAGCUCUGACUAGCAUCAAAAUGAAUUCCACCAUUGCCUAGGGACAAGACCCUGUGGCUUGGCAGAGAAGGAGACCACCACGGAGGUGCCUUGGUGGUGGACUCUUGCCUGUCUUCUCUGUGCCUAUCUUCACGGGAUAGUUCCAUGAACCUAGGAGAGGACAGAUGUAAACCAGCCUGAAGAAACAUCAAUCAGAGCUCCAGGAAUAAACUGUUAAAUCCCUAAGGAUUCAAAAGGAUUCAAAAGGAUCAUCAGCCCUGCUUAGAUGUUGUUGGCAUGUGUGUUUUGAAACUUACACCACUGUGAUUUCCAGAUAUUCCUGUAUUCUCCACAGUUGAUUUCUCACAGGUGGAGUUUCCUGAAGAACCACACAGACUCAGAAUCUGCCAGGCUGUGUGUUUCUGUGGGAGUGUUAUGAGUGUUGUAUGUCUGCAUGUGUGUGUGGCUGUGGUGAGUGUGUGAGUGUCUUUUUUUGUUUCGGUAAGUGGAAUCUGCUUAAAGGAAUGUGGCUAAUGCACUGCAGCUCUUCCUUUUAUUGAUUAUCCCAACCAUUUGGUUGCCUGUCUGUGUGGCUCUCCUUGGGUUGUGAGUCACUGUGUUCUUUAUAUUUCUGUGGAUCAUGAAUUUGCAGUGAAUUGGUAGGCUGGCUGAGACCCAUCAAAACCAAAUCACCUCCCUCUGCAAAAAAAGCCACUCUGCUAGAAAGAACAGGAGCACAUCACACUGAAGAACAUACAUCUCCCAGUGUUUCUUGUCCUGUAGCCAGCCCAGGGAGAGACACUAGCAGUCCUGUCUGCAGGGCCCCUUGAAUUUACCUCAAAUUCAGUUCAAACUUGAGCAGGUGCUUCUCUUCAUGAAGGGGCACUCCUCUAUUUUCUUGAGAUUUAAUUCUGGGACAGAGAGUGUGAGCAGCAAUUGUCAGAUGGGGGUGAGGAUACAAUGUAGUUAGGGGUGGAUGGGGUCCUGCACCUUAACCUGCAAAAAAGGUGAAGACAGAUGACACAGAACAUGCAUCCAACUGCAUCCCCACAUUUUAUUAAUUGAAUGAGCAGUCCACACCAUGUCCUGGUGCUCAGGUAGGAGUAUUCCAAAGUGCAAGGAACAUUUGGACUGUAAACUGGGUCCAUCCUGCAAACUGCCGAUUUGAGGACUUUCAUACCUGGAGCCAAAUGUGAGUAUGAUGCAUUAAUGCUGGGUGGGAUGUGACCUCCACACUUCCUUCUUCCUUUCCUGACUUCCACGUUCCUUGUUGGCUUAGGGUUUCCUGAGUCUCACUCAGCGUCUUCCACACUAAACGUUUCCCACUUCACGGAGGACUAUGGUCAUCGGAAGGAUAUUACGUGAAUGUUUCCUUCUGAACACUGUCACGUUUUAAUGAUUGGGCAGCUGUGAUAAUUUGAAAAAAAUAAAUUCCUGUUACAGCCACC
Long non-coding RNA from Macaca mulatta (Rhesus monkey), 5627 nucleotides. Lineage: Eukaryota; Metazoa; Chordata; Mammalia; Primates; Cercopithecidae. The record is from Ensembl.